UUAAAAUGAUGAAACAUAAUCAGUUCUGCUUCUGAUAAUAAUGAAGACAAAUUGUUUAACUGAUUU
Non-coding RNA from Plasmodium berghei, 66 nucleotides. The record is from Rfam. NCBI's taxonomy places the organism in Eukaryota, Apicomplexa, Aconoidasida, Haemosporida, Plasmodiidae.